Molecule: long non-coding RNA, 690 nt
Organism: Oreochromis aureus
Lineage: Eukaryota; Metazoa; Chordata; Actinopteri; Cichliformes; Cichlidae
Source: Ensembl
UUACUUUGCUUGAUGGUAAACAGCUAUUGUUUGUAGGUCGUAGCUGUAGAAGCCUCCUCUGAGCCAUUCUGCUUACGUUUUAUGACACGGCUUACUUGAUGCGGAGUGCUGACGUGGAGGAGACUAGGGUGCCUUGGUGGUGGGAUCCUCUGAGUGUACACACCUGCCUUGUUUAAUUUAUUAGUGAUAAAAGCAAAGCAGCAGCUACUUUGGUGUGGGAUUCCACAGCUGUGUUACAGAGAUGGAGGAAGAGUUACAGGAACUCAGGGACUUGAUCGUGCAGCUGAAAGCAGACAAUGAGAGGCUGCGUCAGGAGAGGGCUGUUGGGUCAGAUGCGGAGUGCUGACGUGGAGGAGACUAGGGUGCCUUGGUGGUGGGAUCCUCUGAGUGUACACACCUGCCUUGUUUAAUUUAUUAGUGUGAGUGUGCUGCACUUGUGUCUUGGUGUAUUUUCUUUUUUUGAGUUUGUGUGUGGCAUCCCUGCCCUCCACUGGUAAGCCUCAGCUCUGAAUACCUUUUUUUGCAUACUUUUACAUUGAUAUUUAUCACUGUGCUUUUAAAUGUUGUUUUAAUUAAUAAAUUGUCAAUUUAUUUUAUCAUUGAACCUCGUCUCUGUAUUGAGUAUAACAAACCUAACUGCCUUCGUAGUGAUUAGUGUUACCUCCAGUAUUCUCUGGGUGAAAUUCCCAG